Molecule: ribosomal RNA, 270 nt
Filed under: uncultured archaeon
Lineage: Archaea
Description: partial 16S ribosomal RNA
Rfam family: Archaeal small subunit ribosomal RNA
Source: RNAcentral
CUGCAGCUCAAGUGGUGACCACUAUUAUUGGGCCUAAAACGUUCGUAGCCGGUUUGGUAAAUGCCUGGGUAAAUCGCGUAGCUUAACUAUACGAAUUCCGGGUAGACUGCCAAACUUGAGACCGGGAGAAGCUAGAGGUACUCCUGGGGUAGAGGUGAAAUUCUGUAAUCCUGGGGGGACCACCAGUGGCGAAGGCGUCUAGCUAGAACGGGUCUGACGGUGAGGAACGAAGCCCUGGGGCGCAAACCGGAUUAGAUACCCGAGUAGUCC